Molecule: ribosomal RNA, 914 nt
Filed under: Acinetobacter sp. BJC6
Lineage: Bacteria; Pseudomonadati; Pseudomonadota; Gammaproteobacteria; Moraxellales; Moraxellaceae
Description: bacterial SSU rRNA
Rfam family: Bacterial small subunit ribosomal RNA
Source: RNAcentral
CCUGACUAGUAGGAGGUAGAUCGAGCCUGACUCAGUCGUCGUAGCAAGGUAGAGUUUGAUCCUGGCUGAGUCAGUCGUAGCAAGGUAGGGAGAGUUCGUGCUAGAGUGAGUCCGACGAAGGAAGGGAGAGAAUGAAAGAGUUAGUUCAAACGUUACCGCCCAACGGAUGCCCCUGGCCUGAGUAGCUUGCUGUUCGACUUGCGUGUUACCAAGCUGACGAUCAGGAGCGGUCCGGACCCGGAUUCAACUUUUAGGGCCGACAGCUAGCUCCGCCACCUUGGGCCUGAGACAGGGCCCAGACUAAUACGGGAGGGAGAAGUGGGGAAUAUUGGACAAUGGGCGAAACCCUGAUCCAGCCAUGCCGCGUGUGUGAAGAAGGCCUUAUGGUUGUAAAGCACUUUARGCGAGGAGGAGGCUACUUUAGUUAAUACCUAGAGAUAGUGGACGUUACUCGCAGAAUAAGCACCGGCUAACUCUGUGCCAGCAGCCGCGGUAAUACAGAGGGUGCGAGCGUUAAUCGGAUUUACUGGGCGAAAAGCGUGCGUAGGCGGCUUAUUAAGUCGGAUGUGAAAUCCCCGAGCUUAACUUGGUAAUAGCAUUCGAUACUGGUGAGCUAGAGUAUGCGAGAGGAUGAUAGAAUUCCAGGUGUAUCUGGUGAAAUGCGUAGAGAUCUGGAGGAAUACCGAUGGCGARGGCAGCCAUCUGGCCUAAUACUGACGCUGAGGUACGACAGCAUGGGGAGCAMACAGGAUUAGAUACCCUGAAGUCCAUGCCGAAAACGAUGUCUACUAGCCGUUGGGGCCUUUGAGGCUUUAUUGACCYACCUAACGCUGAAAGUAGACCCGCCUGGGGAGUACCGGUCGCACGACUAAAACUCAAAUGAAUUGACGGGCGUCCCGCUCCAGCGGCGGAGC